RNAcentral lists this unclassified non-coding RNA (385 nucleotides) under Hevea brasiliensis (rubber tree). The record is from RNAcentral. Lineage: Eukaryota; Viridiplantae; Streptophyta; Magnoliopsida; Malpighiales; Euphorbiaceae.
GGAAGAACCUGUUAAGAAAGAGGUAAUAUUAUAAACGUAUUUAUUCACUUGAAAUUGCAGUUGAUAGGUUUGACGAUUGAUAACAAUUCAGUAAAUACCACAGCUAUUACUAAAUUUUUAUUGCUUUGUGUUUGGAUAAGAAGUGUGGGACCCUUCGAGCACUGGGUCACUCUUUUCAAAUGAAUCUCAUAACAUUCAUAAAUCUAAUCUUCUUCAAUCUAAGCAAUUAAAAGAAAUGAGCCAACUUUAAUUUAAAUAAUGUAAAACUAAAACCAUGUCCAAACUCUCAUUUGAAAUUCUUCCUGCCAAUUUAGAAAUAAAGAAUUUGUUAUUGCAAAUAUUCUCACUAAAGAUCAGUUAUAUAUGUUUUUUUUUUUUCUCUUAC